Molecule: long non-coding RNA, 1438 nt
Filed under: Malus domestica (apple)
Lineage: Eukaryota; Viridiplantae; Streptophyta; Magnoliopsida; Rosales; Rosaceae
Description: long non-coding RNA (MDOM_LNC012621)
Source: RNAcentral
AUGGCGGAAGAGUACUUCCAGAGAAGAUGCCACAUCUACCUAUGAGACAGAUAAGGCAAGUGAAGACGAUACCACACUUCGGUACUUAGAAGUUUCGUGAUUACAAGAUCAUUCUCCCACAAUAUUUCCUAAUGUCAUUUGUACUAAAUCAUUCACUUGAAAUCACUAAAGGAGAGCUUGAACCUAUGUACUUGUGUAAACCUUUCACAAUUAAUGAGAACUCAUCUACUCCGUGGACGUAGCCAAUCUGGGUGAAUCACGUACAUCUUUUGUUUGCUUUCCUGUCUCUAUCCAUUUACAUACUUAUCCACACUAAUGACCGGAGCAAUCUAGUGAAGAUCACAAACUUAAUACUUUCUGUUGUACCAAAGUCCUCACUGAUUUUGUGCAUCAACAAUCCUUAAGUCCUCACCUUUUUGCGUUGGUAAUGGAUGAGUUAACAGGACAUAUUCAAGAUGAUAUUCCUUGGUGUAUGCUUUUCGCAAACGAUAUAGUAUUGAUAGAUGAAACUUAGGAAGGGGUAAAUACGAAGCUUAACCUUUGGAGAGAAGUGUUGGAAUCUAAAGGUCUUCGCCUAAGCAGAUCAAAGACAGAAUUUAUAGAGUGCAAGUUUAGUGCAAAUGGAGGCCAAAAUGAGUUAGGGGUGAGGAUAGGAGAUCAGGAAAUGCCAGGGGUGAGGAUAGGAGAUCAGGAAAUGCCAAAAAGCGACCUAUUUUGCUACCGAGGAUCUAUCUUGCAAAAGAACGGAGAAUUAGAUGGAGAUCUCAACCAUAGAAUACAAGCUGGAUGGAUGAAGUAGAGGAGUGAAUCCGGCGUGUUGUGUGACCGUCGUAGGCCACUGAAGCUCAGGGGAAAAUUUUAUAGGACGACAAUACGACUGGCGAUGCUGCAUGACAUAGAAUGUUGGGCGGUGAAGCAUCAACACGUACACAAAAUGGAUGUAGCGGAAAUGAGGAUGCUUCGUUGGAUGUGUGGGCACACGAGAAAGGAUAAGAUUAGGAAUGAGGAUAUCCGAGGUAAAGUAGGAGUAGCCGAAAUUGAAGGAAAGAUGAGAGAAAAUCGGUUACGGUGGUUUGGCCAUGUGCAAAGAAGGCCUACUGACGUUCCGGUUCGAAGAUGUGACUACGGGAUAGAGGUUCAGGGCCAAAGGGGUAGAGGAAGGCCUAGGAAAACUUUGGAAGAGACCCUAAGAAAGGACUUAGAGUACUUGGAUCUAACGAAGGACAUGACACAAAACUGAGCGCAAUGGUGUUCUAGGAUUCAUAUAGCCGACCCCACUUAGUAGGAAAAAGCUUUGUUGUUGUUUGUUGUUGUUGUUAUAUCCAACAACUCUCCACUCAAACCCCAUUAAUCUCCAGUCAGAUCCAAGUUUAAAAUCACCAACUGUUAAUCUUGUUGGUCUGACUGAUAGUGCUCUGACCCAUGCUAAGCAGGGUAC